RNAcentral lists this unclassified non-coding RNA (220 nucleotides) under uncultured fungus. RNAcentral's name for it is "sequence contains ITS1, 5.8S rRNA gene". The stretch from base 172 to 220 matches the Rfam family "5.8S ribosomal RNA", at positions 1 to 49 of the family's 154-position model. Lineage: Eukaryota; Fungi. The record is from RNAcentral.
UCUCCGUUGGUGAACCAGCGGAGGGAUCAUUACAGAGUUAUCUAACUCCCAAACCCAUGUGAACUUACCAUAUGUUGCCUCGGCAGAACCUACCCUGUAGCGGGCUGCCGGCGGACCUCUAAACUCUUGUUAUUUUUAAAGUAAUCUGAGCGUCUUAUUUUAAUAAGUCAAAACUUUCAACAACGGAUCUCUUGGUUCUGGCAUCGAUGAAGAACGCAGC